CUUUAGUAAUUGCGAAUGAACAAGGAUAUGCUUAGCUUGACAAAUGGAGCUAUUGGCUUUGAAUUGUAUUGUGGAAAUGUAUUACCAACAGAGGUGCAGGUGCCAGCCUAUUGAAAUAAAGCGUCAAUGAGGGUGAGAAUCCUGUUUGUCAUGUGCAGCCCUUUGUGCACGGUGUAUAUUUGCUGAGUCACACUCCUUGGCAUUGGAAUGCAAAGUGGGUGGUAAGUUUCAUGUAAAGGUAAACAUGCAAUUGAGACUGAUAGCACACAAGUACCAUGAGGGAAAUAUGAAAAGGACUUUGAAAAGAGAAUUAAAUGAGUUUGUAUUUGCUGAACACAAAGUAAACAGACUUGAUUUGCUUGGUGGGAGUGUUGCACUUGCUUGACAAGAGCUUUGGGCUGUGGGUGUAAUGAUUCUUUCUUUGCAUGCCAGUUUCUAUUUGUACAUCUGAUUACCUUUGCACAUGAAUGAUAAGUCUCCUGUGGGGGGUGGAUUGCAUGUGCAUGUAAUGAUUUGUGUUUUGAUAAAUGUGUCUGGUGUAUGUGUGUGUUCCUGUGCUUGGGGAUGCUUCCUUCCUUGGACUUACAAGCCCUGACACACACAUGCUGGCAAAAUGCUUCUGCUUGACCCGUCUUGAAACACGGACCAAGGAGUCUAACAGAUGUGCAAAGUUUGAAGGUGGUAUACCUUUGUGUGCAAUGAAAGUGUCAGCUGGGAUAUGUGCACCAGCACCCAAUUAAUUAGCGGACAGAGGUUUGAGUUGGAGCAUAUCUAUUAGGACCCGAAAGAUGGUGAACUAUGCCUGAACAGAAUGAAUUCAGAGGAAACUCUGAUGGAGGUUCGUAUCGAUACUGACGUGCAAAUCGUUCGUCAUAUUUGGGUAUAGGGGCGAAAGACUAAUCGAACCAUCUAGUAGCUGGUUCCCUCCGAAGUUUCCCUCAGGAUAGCUGGAGUUGCUCAGUUUUAUCAGGUAAAGCGAAUGAUUAGAGGAAUUGGGGACAGGUUUGUCUUUGACCUAUUCUCAAACUUUAAAUGGG
RNAcentral lists this ribosomal RNA (1037 nucleotides) under Alexandrium catenella. RNAcentral describes it as "partial large subunit ribosomal RNA". It matches the Rfam family "Eukaryotic large subunit ribosomal RNA", at positions 78 to 1073 of the family's 3401-position model. The record is from RNAcentral. Lineage: Eukaryota; Dinophyceae; Gonyaulacales; Pyrocystaceae.